Molecule: ribosomal RNA, 345 nt
Filed under: uncultured eukaryote
Lineage: Eukaryota
Description: SSU rRNA
Rfam family: Eukaryotic small subunit ribosomal RNA
Source: RNAcentral
AUAGCGUAUAUUAAAGUUGUUGCAGUUAAAAAGCUCGUAGUUGAACCUUGGGUCUGGGUGACCGGUCUGCCUCACCGCAUGCACUGGGAACCCGGACCUUUCCUUCUGGCAAACCUCAUGCCCUUCACUGGGUGUGUUGGGGAACCAGGACUUUUACUUUGAAAAAAUUAGAGUGUUCAAAGCAGGCAUUUGCUCGAAUACAUUAGCAUGGAAUAAUAGAAUAGGACGUGCGGUUCUAUUUUGUUGGUUUCUAGAGCCGCCGUAAUGAUUAAUAGGGAUAGUCGGGGGCAUCCGUAUUCAAUUGUCAGAGGUGAAAUUCUUGGAUUUAUUGAAGACGAACUACUG